This 88-nucleotide transfer RNA is filed under the name Calditrichota bacterium. RNAcentral's name for it is "Calditrichaeota bacterium tRNA-Ser". It matches the Rfam family "tRNA". Rfam says of the family: Transfer RNA (tRNA) molecules are approximately 80 nucleotides in length. Their secondary structure includes four short double-helical elements and three loops (D, anti-codon, and T loops). RNAcentral also lists the same sequence under 1 other name. The record is from RNAcentral. Lineage: Bacteria; Pseudomonadati; Calditrichota.
GGAGAGAUGGCCGAGUGGCUGAAGGCGCACGCCUGCUAAGUGUGUAUGGGCUAAUCACCCAUCCAGGGUUCGAAUCCCUGUCUCUCCG